ACCUAUUUAACUCAGCUGGUUAGAGUUUCCGUUUCAUACGCGGAAAGUCACUGGUUCAAAUCCAGUAGUAGGUA
RNAcentral lists this transfer RNA (74 nucleotides) under Prototheca stagnorum. RNAcentral describes it as "tRNA-Met". It matches the Rfam family "tRNA". Rfam says of the family: Transfer RNA (tRNA) molecules are approximately 80 nucleotides in length. Their secondary structure includes four short double-helical elements and three loops (D, anti-codon, and T loops). The record is from RNAcentral. Lineage: Eukaryota; Viridiplantae; Chlorophyta; Trebouxiophyceae; Chlorellales; Chlorellaceae.